AUACUACUCCCUCCGCCCGGAAAUAUUUGUCAUCAAAAUGGAUAAAAGGGGAUGUAUCUAGAUGUAUUUUAGUUCUAAAUACAUCUCUUUUUGUCCAUUUUGAUGACAAGUAUUUUCGGACGGAGGGAGUAUAUU
Triticum urartu is the source of this 135-nucleotide non-coding RNA. The record is from Rfam. NCBI's taxonomy places the organism in Eukaryota, Viridiplantae, Streptophyta, Magnoliopsida, Poales, Poaceae.